Molecule: long non-coding RNA, 441 nt
Filed under: Rattus norvegicus (Norway rat)
Lineage: Eukaryota; Metazoa; Chordata; Mammalia; Rodentia; Muridae
Description: long non-coding RNA NONRATT015799
Source: RNAcentral
GACCUCCCUUGCCACCCAUGGCUGACUGCCGCCGACCUGUCAUUGCUCUUAAAGGGUUCCCUGCUGGUGCACACCUCUGGGGUGUGUGUGUGUGUUGGGGGGAGCUCACCAUGCUCCCUUCCCCCAAGCUUCUAACACCCCCUUGCCGUUCCAUUUCCGCCAAGUCACCGGCUGACAGCAAAGGAAGUGUUUGAUAACGAUGGGAAGCCUCGUGUGGAUAUCUUAAAAGCACAUCUCAUGAAGGAAGGCAGGCUGGAAGAAAGUGUCGCGUUGAGAAUAAUAACAGAGGGUGCUUCGAUUCUCCGACAGGAAAAAAACUUGCUGGAUAUUGAUGCCCCAGUCACAGUUUGCGGGGACAUCCAUGGACAAUUCUUUGACUUGAUGAAGCUCUUUGAAGUGGGAGGAUCUCCUGCCAACACUCGCUACCUCUUCUUAGGGGAC